AACGUAGGAGGCGAGCGUUAUCCGGAGUUACUGGGCGUAAAGCGCGUGCAGGCGGCAGGACAAGUGGCGGGUGAAAGCGCCCGGCUCAACCGGGCGAGUGCCGGUCAGACUGUCGUGCUGGAGUACCGGUGAGGGACGUGGAAUUCCGGGUGUAGCGGUGAAAUGUGCAGAGAUCCGGAGGAACACCAGCGGCGCAAGCGGCGUCCUGGACGGAAACUGACGCUGAGACGCGACAGCGUGGGGAGCGAACGGG
RNAcentral lists this ribosomal RNA (253 nucleotides) under uncultured bacterium. RNAcentral describes it as "partial 16S ribosomal RNA". It matches the Rfam family "Bacterial small subunit ribosomal RNA", at positions 524 to 776 of the family's 1533-position model. The record is from RNAcentral.